GAGAGAGCCCUGCUUCUUGUGGAGCAAAUCAAAGACAAUCAGAGCCCACUUGUUACAUACCUUCUGGAAGUGGCAAAACUUCAAUGGCAGCUACAAUUGGUAUAGAGAGUGAUUUCCCAUAUGUCAAGAUUAUAUCUGCAGAAAGCAUGAUUGGUCUCGGUGAAGCAAGUAAAUGUGCA
Zingiber officinale is the source of this 179-nucleotide long non-coding RNA. RefSeq lists it as uncharacterized. NCBI's taxonomy places the organism in Eukaryota, Viridiplantae, Streptophyta, Magnoliopsida, Zingiberales, Zingiberaceae. The record is from RefSeq and is a predicted model, not a curated record. The transcript has 3 exons.